Malania oleifera is the source of this 1925-nucleotide long non-coding RNA. RefSeq lists it as uncharacterized. Lineage: Eukaryota; Viridiplantae; Streptophyta; Magnoliopsida; Santalales; Ximeniaceae. The record is from RefSeq and is a predicted model, not a curated record. The transcript is spliced from 3 exons.
GCACAGGCAUUAGGAGAGUCGGUGGGUUGGCCCCUAUUGUAUGGGUAAAGAGUAAAUAACUGAUGUAGGGUUACGCAGCUGCUACCAAUUAACACGUAAAAGGCCUGUCUUCUUCCAAAGCCAUACCUCUGCAAGAAGAAUCGGCUGCUAGCUUUCUCACAAUUUGGGGAGCCUCAUCUACUCAUUUCCAAUCUCAGAUCCUCAGAUCCCCUGGCUGCAGAUAAUGUUUAAAUUGAGGUCGCGGGUGCCCAGUCGUCUCUCAACACAUGCCAUGGCUCUUAUUCCCUGAAGGUCAGGAGGGUAAGAACCCCAUUUUCUGUACCGUAUCAUCAGAAUCCCUGCAGAUCUGCUUUCCAGGGCACAAUGAUAAAUACCACCUAAGAUAUCAUCCUUAGGAAUCAAGCGUCAAAAUUUCAAAAAACAAAUAUAGUAUUUGCAAUGAAAUUCCUGGUGUAAUCACGUGGUGAACUCCUUGUAGUUUAUAAAGGGCUGUGGGAGGGAGGCAAUUGGACGAAGUCAGCGUCACAGGGGCUAGUUUUUUCUCACAUGAUGUGUGUGGUUCAGGUGAAAAGCUUAAGAGGACAAAAUGGUGUUUUGGGGCAAUAAUGGCUCUGUUUCCUGUCCAGCAACAGACGCAUUGAUCCAAGCGAAUCACAUAGAUUUUACAUUGCAAGAAGAAGCCGCAAGCUCGGACAUAAGCUUGUGUUUCUUCAACAUGGGAGAAGCCAGUGUUUCACCUUAUUUGUCUUCGCCUGGUUUACAAACAGCGGACACGGUUUCUGACCAAAUGCAUUAUUCCUGAUCACAGGCAUGCAGAAGGCGAUCAUAGCCAUAAAAUUUGGAAGAAUACCCCUGCAAGGAGGGUAAGGAAGACAACCAUUUUUUGAAGAUUUUGGGGCAAAGGAGAGACACUUCUAUGGUAGAUUGUAGUGCUCUUGGUCGUGAUAUUUGUUUUGUUCUUGCAAAGCUUCUUUGAUAGUGCUUAGGAGCAUGGGUUCAAGCAUUGGAAUUGAACUUGGAUAGGUUAAGAAGAAACUCAACACAAAUUUAUACUACUCAUUUAUAAAGUCUAAAACCCCUUUGGCUCAAUCCAACAAUAGUUUCUUUGCUCUGUGGUGCUGUAGAAAUUCCCUGAAGAAACCUCACAACCAAAAUAGUGAUGCAUUUUUUAUUCCAGAGGAUAGAAAACAAUGCUUUGAGUCUGGCCAUAAAAUCUUAGAAACUAGAUUUUGUUCUCCUUUCCCAAGAUUCUAGCUUCAGCAAACACGAAUGACCAAUUGCUGAUGAAUAUCAUAAGGUUGCUCAAGCUUUCGAUCUUCAUGCAAACCAUUGCAGUGCAAUUUAACUUGGAAGACUUUCACCUAUUGUCCCAAAUGACCUACAAAAAUUGACAAGAACUCUCCAUCACAUUCCAAUGCCUUAACCAUAUGGAGUAUGAUGGAGAGCUCUUGUCAAAUUUUUUAGGUCAUUUGGGGGAAUGGGUGAAAUUAUUUCAAGUUAAAUUGCCUUGCCAUGGUUUGCGUGAAGAUUGAAAGCUUAAGCAGCCAUAUGGUAUUCGUUAGCAAUUGGUCAUUUGUUUUUGCUGUAGCUAGAAUCCUUGGAGUCGAGAACAAAAUAUACUUUCCUAGAUUUUAUGGAAAAACUCAAAACAUUGUUUUCUAUUAUUUAGAAUAAAAAAUGGUAUCACUCUCUUUGUUGUGAGGCGUCUUGGAAAAUUUCCACAACACUGUAGAACAAAAAAGCUGUAAUUGGAUUGAGUCAAAGGGUUCAAGAUUUCGCCAAUGAAGAGUGUCGAUGUCUUAUUAGCUUGUUGACCAACUACUCUUUAUUAUUUGCUUUUUUGUUUUUCCCUAUGUAAUUUAUUGAACAGAUCAGUUCCUUACAAUGGAUGUAAUUCUUUUCUCUAGCACAUUUCGAGUAUGGAG